UAGGGAAUCUUCGGCAAUGGGGGCAACCCUGACCGAGCGACGCCGCGUGAGUGAAGAAGGUUUUCGGAUCGUAAAGCUCUGUUGUAAGAGAAGAACGUGUGUGAGAGUGGAAAGUUCACACAGUGACGGUAACUUACCAGAAAGGGACGGCUAACUACGUACCAGCAGCCGCGGUAAUACGUAGGUCCCGAGCGUUGUCCGGAUUUAUUGGGCGUAAAGCGAGCGCAGGCGGUUUAAUAAGUCUGAAGUUAAAGGCAGUGGCUUAACCAUUGUUCGCUUUGGAAACUGUUAAACUUGAGUGCAGAAGGGGAGAGUGGAAUUCCAUGUGUAGCGGUGAAAUGCGUAGAUAUAUGGAGGAACACCGGUGGCGAAAGCGGCUCUCUGGUCUGUAACUGACGCUGAGGCUCGAAAGCGUGGGGAGCUAACAGG
RNAcentral lists this ribosomal RNA (429 nucleotides) under bacterium. RNAcentral's name for it is "partial 16S ribosomal RNA". It matches the Rfam family "Bacterial small subunit ribosomal RNA", at positions 355 to 776 of the family's 1533-position model. The record is from RNAcentral.